UAGGGAAUCUUCCACAAUGGGCGAAAGCCUGAUGGAGCAACGCCGCGUGUGUGAUGAAGGGUUUCGGCUCGUAAAACACUGUUGUAAGAGAAGAAUGGCAUUGAGAGUAACUGUUCAAUGUGUGACGGUAUCUUACCAGAAAGGAACGGCUAAAUACGUGCCAA
Molecule: ribosomal RNA, 164 nt
Filed under: uncultured bacterium
Lineage: Bacteria
Description: partial 16S rRNA
Rfam family: Bacterial small subunit ribosomal RNA
Source: RNAcentral